GAGGACGCUGACGUGAGUUUGCUCUUUAGUCCCCGAAUCGAAUCCGGGGUGUCUCCUGGGAACGCAACUUGGGGGCAAUUUCGGAUGGUCCCCGACGGGAGAGAGGAGCAAAGAAAUUCAGUCAUCCGGAAAGCAGAACGGGAAAGCCAGUGUGGCCGAAGCUAUUAUUUUCCUGCAAGGUGGCGUGCGUUGGGAGGAUGGAGUGGGAAAGGAUCCUGAUGAUCGUGAUUGAGGUGGUUUGAAAGGUUCUGGAGGUUCAUUUGAAGAGUGGAUUGAUUCCCGGGACACUAUGGAUGAAACUCACUGUGGCUCCACGCAUAGCCACAUAGCAUGGGGCUUGAACUCAUGACCUGAGAUAGCGACCUGAGCCAACAUCAAGAGUUGAAUACUUAACCAACUGAGCCACCAAGGUGCACCACUACCAUUGACUUUAGAGUGAGGUUAUUUGUACUGAAUAACUGUAAUGAAUAUAAUUCUUUGGAGAGGUGAAAUAAAAUGCUCCGUCCUUUGAUAAUAUAUCAUGGAAUAAGACUGUCUGUGUAAUGUGGU
Molecule: long non-coding RNA, 549 nt
Organism: Ailuropoda melanoleuca (giant panda)
Lineage: Eukaryota; Metazoa; Chordata; Mammalia; Carnivora; Ursidae
Exons: 3
Source: RefSeq, a predicted model, not a curated record